AUAAAACGAGCUUAUUCGUUGGCAAAAUAUGAGGGAAACUGUGAACGAAAGUGCAAGUGCCCAUAUGCACCAAAACUCCUUAAAACAGAGGUAAAUUUAUUAAUUUGUAAAUAUAGAAAUGUAUUCUAUUGAAGAAAAAGGCAAACAUAUGGAUUUAAAAGGCAAACACAUCGUAUGGUUCAUACACAUAGUCCAAGGCAUGAUGAGUCAACGUUAACAGUAGACUGUCCAUUCUGGUGGCUUUGGAAACAAGAAACCAGAAACUGCCUCAUCUACAGCAGUUACAUUAAGCCAAUUCUUCUCAUGGAAGUAUGACAUCAUUUAAAAAAAUGCCCUGUGCAAUUUAUUUCAAUCAAUCAGAUUACAAGGAGGGCCAAUCAGGGCUUGAAACAAUAGGAGAGAGAAAGAAGGAAGGCAAAAGUGGAGCACAAUGGACAACAAAAAGUUGAGCACCGAUUGUCAGUGAGAAACAAAAAAUGCAGAAAAGCAUUUACAUUUGUCUAAAAUUGAGGAGACUAUUCAAAAGUAAAUAAACUGGUUAAACAAAGGUAAAUAUCUAGAAACAAUCCACCUUAACUGUUAUUAAAAGUAUAUACGAGGGGUGAAAAAGGACCAAAACACCAAAAUAGGAGACAAAGUAUUCAUCAAGUACAUCAAACUAUAGUAUCAGGACAUACCUGAGUCAUCAUUUCUGGCCGAAUUGACUGUUGAAGCACGCAGAGAGCACCAUUCUUACCAUGACCAGAACAGCACACCUGAAAAGUACACCCAAAUGAAAACAACAAAGGCUACCAUUUUUCUUUUUUUCUUGGUAAGUAAGAAAGGUUACCAUAUUACAAAUGUACAAAGCAAUAAACCAUUAGAAUUGUAUGAUUUGCUGCUUUAGGAAUGUCAGUCCAGUAUGGAUUAAUAAGAAG
Molecule: non-coding RNA, 917 nt
Organism: Camellia sinensis
Lineage: Eukaryota; Viridiplantae; Streptophyta; Magnoliopsida; Ericales; Theaceae
Source: RefSeq, a predicted model, not a curated record